Molecule: ribosomal RNA, 793 nt
Filed under: Streptomyces sp.
Lineage: Bacteria; Bacillati; Actinomycetota; Actinomycetes; Kitasatosporales; Streptomycetaceae
Description: bacterial SSU rRNA
Rfam family: Bacterial small subunit ribosomal RNA
Source: RNAcentral
GUGGGCAAUCUGCCCUGCACUCUGGGACAAGCCCUGGAAACGGGGUCUAAUACCGGAUACUGAUCACUGCAGGCAUCUGUGGUGUUCGAAAGCUCCGGCGGUGCAGGAUGAGCCCGCGGCCUAUCAGCUUGUUGGUGAGGUAAUGGCUCACCAAGGCGACGACGGGUAGCCGGCCUGAGAGGGCGACCGGCCACACUGGGACUGAGACACGGCCCAGACUCCUACGGGAGGCAGCAGUGGGGAAUAUUGCACAAUGGGCGCAAGCCUGAUGCAGCGACGCCGCGUGAGGGAUGACGGCCUUCGGGUUGUAAACCUCUUUCAGCAGGGAAGAAGCGAAAGUGACGGUACCUGCAGAAGAAGCGCCGGCUAACUACGUGCCAGCAGCCGCGGUAAUACGUAGGGCGCGAGCGUUGUCCGGAAUUAUUGGGCGUAAAGAGCUCGUAGGCGGCUUGUCACGUCGGUUGUGAAAGCCCGGGGCUUAACCCCGGGUCUGCAGUCGAUACGGGCAGGCUAGAGUUCGGUAGGGGAGAUCGGAAUUCCUGGUGUAGCGGUGAAAUGCGCAGAUAUCAGGAGGAACACCGGUGGCGAAGGCGGAUCUCUGGGCCGAUACUGACGCUGAGGAGCGAAAGCGUGGGGAGCGAACAGGAUUAGAUACCCUGGUAGUCCACGCCGUAAACGGUGGGCACUAGGUGUGGGCAACAUUUCCACGUUGUCCGUGCCGCAGCUAACGCAUUAAGUGCCCCGCCUGGGGAGUACGGCCGCAAGGCUAAAACUCAAAGGAAUUGACGGGGGC